UGAGUGCAGUGUGUGGGAAAAGGGUCCCAGGGUACAGGAGGUCUGCUGUACAAACCAGGAGACUGCAUCCAUAGGGAGAAGCCUGGCCCGUAGGAAUGCUGGAGCACUGCUCUGUCCCUGUUACGCCACUGAGGAAAGCAGCAGGAACAAGCGCCUUGGAUAGCAGAUGAUGUUCUGUACCAGUUGCAACAGCAAUAAGCAGACUGAAAGGGAGGAGAAAGGCAAACCUAAGAGAUCAAAUUCACCAGAACAAACUAGGAUGGUAUUGGAAAUAUUCCUGGAGAGUUGGGAGAUAAUUUGGGGCUCGAACCUGUGCUGCUGUCCUCCUCCUUUGCCCUCAAAACUAGCUCUUGACAUGUCUGUCCCAUCUAUGAGACAUUAUGAGACCCUUGUUCCAUGGAGGAACUAACACUUCUGAGCUUCUGAGCCUCCCUACAGAACAUUUUCUUUCAGGCACUUUCGUCUCCUCCCCGGUGCCCUUUCAGAUGCUUCUUUGACCCUUUGUGCAUUGACUCAACUCACCAACCUCACAGAAAAAGCCCUCUUCAUUUGCUUCUUGAAUUGAUUCAGUGUGCAACUGUGUGAACCCCAUAACUCUGUGAGGGAAGAGGGGAGUGAAGGAAGAAGUUGGUGGAAGAGAUGGAACUGUCCUUUUUUUGGUGGUCAAACCAUUAUUAUCACCCACUGAGGGUGCAACUUGAUGUUACACCUAACCAACUCUGCAUGCAAGCUGCUACUGAAGAAAAUAGUCCUCAACUCACUGACCUGAUGCAAAGAGAAAUUUUUUUUUUUUUUUUUUUUUUUUGUGAGUUGCUACAAAAUUGUGUGAUUGUUAAAUCCAGUUCAGGGGAAGGUGCAGGAAUGUCUGUGUGGAAGUGGUUGGGAAAAACAAAAAACAGAACUGCUGCUUUUUGUGAUGAUCUCCAUUUUGGUCAUGCUAUCAGGAUGUGAAACUGUCCUCUUUGCAUGCCUGUGGAAGGAUGAAAACAAAACUCAGAUUGUAAAAAAUAAAAUUAGUUUUGAGUUGGGUCAACACACUAAUCUGACUUGACAGCUGCAGAAAAGCUCGUCCUAACACAGGGAGAGAAUGAGAAGAUGCAGUGGGGGACAGGAGAUAGGGGAAUCUCCUCAUUUGGUAGCAGAGUGCUCUUAGAUUUGCUGAUGCUGAACAUGGAGUAGCUCCCCAAGGAGGGAAUUCCAAGUGUUAGAAUAAAUUUUCAGCUUUUUGUAAUAAAUGGCUCACCAAAAUGAACCAGCUUAAAAAAAAAAAUCUUCUAUUCUUGGAAGCUGAGUGUUUUCAUUAGCCUCACAGGUGAAUUUGUGGGAGAAUGGAGAACUAUACCAGUGAGCGAAUAACAGACUAGGAAAUUGGGAAAUCAGGAACCUACUCAACUGGCUCUGCUAUCAGGAAAGCUAUGGGAAACUCUGUCUUUGAUUUUUUACAGUAGCUUGUAAUGAAGAAGAAUAAGGAUGUACUUCAGCAACCCUUUCUUCUUGCUCAUUAUUAUGGUACUAUAACCCCAAUUUCCUGGUACUGUGGGGUGGAGGGAGUGGUACAAUACCAAAACCAUGAUGUGUGGCAUGGUAGGGAGCAGGGUACAUUUCAUAUGUGGUUUUGGAGGGGCUAAAUCCAUAUUUGAUUCUGUAAGUUAACUUUCUGUAAACUUAAAUGUUACUAUGACCUGAAAUUUACUUAAAAUUGCUGUUUCUCGGA
This is a long non-coding RNA of Tyto alba (common barn owl), 1714 nucleotides long. RefSeq lists it as uncharacterized. NCBI's taxonomy places the organism in Eukaryota, Metazoa, Chordata, Aves, Strigiformes, Tytonidae. The record is from RefSeq and is a predicted model, not a curated record. The transcript has 3 exons.